GGACAUUUAGCUCAGCUGGUCAGAGCAUCCGGCUCAUAACCGGACGGUCCUGGGUUCGAAACCCAGAAUGUCCA
RNAcentral lists this transfer RNA (74 nucleotides) under Blautia wexlerae. Its description in RNAcentral is "tRNA-Ile". It matches the Rfam family "tRNA". From Rfam's summary of the family: Transfer RNA (tRNA) molecules are approximately 80 nucleotides in length. Their secondary structure includes four short double-helical elements and three loops (D, anti-codon, and T loops). RNAcentral also lists the same sequence under 2 other names. The record is from RNAcentral. Lineage: Bacteria; Bacillati; Bacillota; Clostridia; Lachnospirales; Lachnospiraceae.